GGAUUGACACAUCGGUCGUGCCUUAAGGGGUAUGAACUGGUGUAGUCAGUUUCUCACCUUCUGGAGAACCGCGAUGUCCUUAAUUGGGUGCCGCGAGGAACCAGGACCUUUACUUUGAAAAAAUUAGAGUGUUUAAAGCAGGCAUUUUGCUUGAAUACAUUAGCAUGGAAUAAUAAAAUAGGACGGAUGGUUCUAUUUUGUUGGUUUCUAGGAUCACCGUAAUGAUUAAUAGGGAUAGUUGGGC
RNAcentral lists this ribosomal RNA (244 nucleotides) under uncultured Glomeromycotina. RNAcentral describes it as "partial 18S ribosomal RNA". It matches the Rfam family "Eukaryotic small subunit ribosomal RNA", at positions 665 to 887 of the family's 1831-position model. Lineage: Eukaryota; Fungi; Glomeromycota. The record is from RNAcentral.